Molecule: ribosomal RNA, 755 nt
Filed under: uncultured archaeon
Lineage: Archaea
Description: bacterial SSU rRNA
Rfam family: Archaeal small subunit ribosomal RNA
Source: RNAcentral
AGUCAACAUGCCCAGGGGACGUGGAUAACCUCGGGAAACUGAGGAUAAACCGCGAUAGGUCAUCACUUCUGGAAUGGGUAAUGACUUAAAUCUAUAUGGCCCCUGGAUUGGACUGCGGCCGAUCAGGCUGUUGGUGAGGUAAUGGCCCACCAAACCUGUAACCGGUACGGGCUCUGAGAGGAGGAGCCCGGAGAUGGGCACUGAGACAAGGGCCCAGGCCCUAUGGGGCGCAGCAGGCGCGAAACCUCUGCAAUAGGCGAAAGCUUGACAGGGUUACUCUGAGUGAUUUCCGUUAAGGAGAUCUUUUGGCACCUCUAAAAAUGGUGCAGAAUAAGGGGUGGGCAAGUCUGGUGUCAGCCGCCGCGGUAAUACCAGCACCCCGAGUGGUCGGGACGUUUAUUGGGCCUAAAGCAUCCGUAGCCGGUUCUACAAGUCUUCCGUUAAAUCCACCUGCUUAACAGAUGGGCUGCGGAAGAUACUAUAGAGCUAGGAGGCGGGAGAGGCAAGCGGUACUCGAUGGGUAGGGGUAAAAUCCGUUGAUCCAUUGAAGACCACCAGUGGCGAAGGCGGCUUGCCAGAACGCGCUCGACGGUGAGGGAUGAAAGCUGGGGGAGCAAACCGGAUUAGAUACCCGGGUAGUCCCAGCUGUAAACGAUGCAGACUCGGUGAUGAGUUGGCUUAUUGCUAACUCAGUGCCGCAGGGAAGCCGUUAAGUUUGCCGCCUGGGGAGUACGGUCGCAAGACUGAAACUUAAA